This is a non-coding RNA of Felis catus (domestic cat), 85 nucleotides long. NCBI's taxonomy places the organism in Eukaryota, Metazoa, Chordata, Mammalia, Carnivora, Felidae. The record is from Rfam.
GCCUGGGUGGCUUAAUUGGUUAAGCACCGGACUUCAGCUCAGGUCAUGAUCUCAUGGUUCAUGGGUUUAAGCCCCACAUCGGGCU